GACGAACGCUGGCGGCGUGCUUAACACAUGCAAGUCGAACGGAAAGGCCCUGCUUUUGUGGGGUGCUCGAGUGGCGAACGGGUGAGUAACACGUGAGUAGCCUGCCCUUGACUUUGGGAUAACUUCAGGAAACUGGGGCUAAUACCGGAUAGGAGCUCCUGCUGCAUGGUGGGGGUUGGAAAGUUUCGGCGGUUGGGGAUGGACUCGCGGCUUAUCAGCUUGUUGGUGGGGUAGUGGCUUACCAAGGCUUUGACGGGUAGCCGGCCUGAGAGGGUGACCGGCCACAUUGGGACUGAGAUACGGCCCAGACUCCUACGGGAGGCAGCAGUGGGGAAUAUUGCACAAUGGGCGGAAGCCUGAGGCAGCAACGCCGCGUGCGGGAGGACGGCCUUCGGGUGGUAAACCGCUUUCGCCUGUGACGAAGCGUGAGUGACGGUAAUGGGUAAAGAAGCACCGGCGAACUACGU
Molecule: ribosomal RNA, 467 nt
Filed under: uncultured bacterium
Lineage: Bacteria
Description: partial 16S ribosomal RNA
Rfam family: Bacterial small subunit ribosomal RNA
Source: RNAcentral